RNAcentral lists this ribosomal RNA (492 nucleotides) under uncultured bacterium. RNAcentral describes it as "partial 16S ribosomal RNA". It matches the Rfam family "Bacterial small subunit ribosomal RNA", at positions 29 to 507 of the family's 1533-position model. The record is from RNAcentral.
AGUGAACGCUGGCGGUAGGCCUAACACAUGCAAGUCGAACGGCCGCACAGUAAGAGCUUGCUCUUACGGGUGGCGAGUGGCGGACGGGUGAGGAAUACAUCGGAAUCUACUUUUUCGUGGGUGAUAACGUAGGGCCACUUACGCUACUACCGCAUACGACCUACGGGUGAAAGCAGUGGUUCUUCGGACCUUUCGCGAUUGAUUGAGCCGAUUUCGGAUUAGCUUGUUGGCGGGGUAAAGGCCCACCAAGGCGACGCUCCGUAGCUUGUCUGAGAGGAUGAUCAGCCCCACUGGAACUGAGACACGGUCCAGACUCCUACGGGAGGGAGCAGUGGGGAAUAUUGGACAAUGGGCGCAAGCCUGAUCCAGCCAUAGCGCGUGGGUGAAGAAGGCCUUCGGGUUGGAAAGCCCUUUUGUUGGGAAAGAAAAGCAGCAGGUUAAUACCCCGCUGGUCUGACGGUACCCAAAGAAUAAGCACCGGCUAACUUCGUG